AUCCAACUGACGAGUCCCAAAUAGGACGAAAUGCGCGUCCUGGAA
Molecule: non-coding RNA, 45 nt
Filed under: Schistosoma bovis
Lineage: Eukaryota; Metazoa; Platyhelminthes; Trematoda; Strigeidida; Schistosomatidae
Also listed under: 1 other name
Source: RNAcentral